This 71-nucleotide transfer RNA is filed under the name Pseudocaranx dentex (hard-tail jack). Its description in RNAcentral is "tRNA-Trp". It matches the Rfam family "tRNA". Rfam says of the family: Transfer RNA (tRNA) molecules are approximately 80 nucleotides in length. The record is from RNAcentral. Lineage: Eukaryota; Metazoa; Chordata; Actinopteri; Carangiformes; Carangidae.
AGAGACUUAGGUUAACACAAAACCAAGAGCCUUCAAAGCCCUAAACGAGAGUGAAAAUCUCCCAGUCCCUG